RNAcentral lists this ribosomal RNA (594 nucleotides) under uncultured Bacteroidota bacterium. Its description in RNAcentral is "bacterial SSU rRNA". It matches the Rfam family "Bacterial small subunit ribosomal RNA", at positions 122 to 715 of the family's 1533-position model. The record is from RNAcentral. Lineage: Bacteria; Pseudomonadati; Bacteroidota.
CAACCUGCCCUUUACUCGGGGAUAGCCUUUCGAAGGAAAGAUUAAUACCCGAUGGCAUAAUGAUUCCGCAUGGUUUCAUUAUUAAAGGAUUCCGGUAAAGGAUGGGGAUGCGUUCCAUCAGGUUGUUGGUGGGGUAACGGCCCACCAAGCCUUCGAUGGAUAGGGGUUCUGAGAGGAAGGUCCCCCACAUUGGAACUGAGACACGGUCCAAACUCCUACGGGAGGCAGCAGUGAGGAAUAUUGGUCAAUGGGCGCUAGCCUGAACCAGCCAAGUAGCGUGAAGGAUGAAGGCUCUAUGGGUCGUAAACUUCUUUUAUAUAAGAAUAAAGUGCAGUAUGUAUACUGUUUUGUAUGUAUUAUAUGAAUAAGGAUCGGCUAACUCCGUGCCAGCAGCCGCGGUAAUACGGAGGAUCCGAGCGUUAUCCGGAUUUAUUGGGUUUAAAGGGAGCGUAGAUGGAUGUUUAAGUCAGUUGUGAAAGUUUGCGGCUCAACCGUAAAAUUGCAGUUGAUACUGGAUAUCUUGAGUGCAGUUGAGGCAGGCGGAAUUCGUGGUGUAGCGGUGAAAUGCUUAGAUAUCACGAAGAACUCCGAUUG